RNAcentral lists this ribosomal RNA (425 nucleotides) under Halomonas sp. Sa6-1I. Its description in RNAcentral is "bacterial LSU rRNA". It matches the Rfam family "Bacterial large subunit ribosomal RNA", at positions 1 to 474 of the family's 2925-position model. The record is from RNAcentral. Lineage: Bacteria; Pseudomonadati; Pseudomonadota; Gammaproteobacteria; Oceanospirillales; Halomonadaceae.
GGUCAAGCGAUGAAGCGCAUACGGUGGAUGCCUAGGCAGCCAGAGGCGAUGAAAGACGUGGAAGCCUGCGAUAAGGCUCGGCGAGGUGGCAAACAACCUGUGACCCGGGCAUCUCUGAAUGGGGAAACCCACCCAGUGUAAGCUGGGUAUCCCGCACUGAAUACAUAGGUGCCGGGAGGCGAACCAGGGGAACUGAAACAUCUAAGUACCCUGAGGAAAAGAAAUCAACCGAGAUUCCCCCAGUAGCGGCGAGCGAACGGGGACCAGCCCUUAAGCAUGUGACUGAUUAGACGAACGCGUUGGGAAGCGCGGCCAUAGUGGGUGACAGCCCCGUAGUCGAAAAUCUGAUCAUGUGAAAUCGAGUAGGUCGGGGCACGAGAAACCUUGACUGAAGACGGGGGGACCAUCCUCCAAGGCUAAAUACU